RNAcentral lists this ribosomal RNA (1100 nucleotides) under uncultured Bacillus sp. RNAcentral's name for it is "bacterial SSU rRNA". It matches the Rfam family "Bacterial small subunit ribosomal RNA", at positions 1 to 1119 of the family's 1533-position model. Lineage: Bacteria; Bacillati; Bacillota; Bacilli; Caryophanales; Bacillaceae. The record is from RNAcentral.
GGGACCCCGUCGAUUCAUGCCUAUUCCACGGAGUUCGCGUUGACAGACUGUACCUUGCUGAGGGAAGUUUCCGGCGGAUGGGUGGAGUAACACGUGGGUAACCUGCCUGUACAUUGCGAUAACACCUGGAGGCGGACCUUUGCCGGAUGCUUGUUUGAACCGCAUGGAUCAAAAUAAAGGGUGGCGUCGGCUACCUCUUACUGAUGGACCUGCGGCGCAUAACUAGUUGGUGAGGUAACGGCUCACCAAGGCAACGAUGCGUAGCCCACCUGAGAGGGUGAUCGGCCACGCUGGGACUGAGACACGGCCCAGACUCCUUUGGGAGGCAGCCGUAGGGAAUCUUCCGCAAUGGACGAAAGUCUGACGGAGCAACGCCGCGUGAGUGAUGAAAGGUUUUCGGAUCGUAAAGCUCUGUUGUUAGGGAAGAACAUGUACCGUUCGACAUAGGGCGGUACCUUGACGGUACCUAACCAGAAAGCCACGGCUAAACUACGUGCCACCAGCCGCGGUAAUACGUAGGUGGCAAGCGUUGUCCGGGAAUUAUUGGGCGUAAAGGGCUCGCAGGCGGUUUCUUAAUGUCUGAUGUGAAAGCCCCCGGCUCAACCGUGGAGGGUCAUUGGAAACUGGGGAACUUGAGUGCAAAAGGAGAGUGGAAUUCCACGUGUACGGUGAAAUGCGUAGAGAUGUGGAGGAACACCAGUGGGGGAAGGCGACUCUCUGGUCUGUAACUGACGCUGAGGAGCGAAAGCGUGGGGAGCGAACAGGAUUAUAUACCCUGGUAGUCCACGCCGUAAAAGAUGAGUGCUAAGUGUUAGGGGGUUUCCGCCCCCUAGUGCUGCCGCUAACGCAUUAAACACUCCGUCUGGGGAUUACGGGCGCCAGACUGAACUCAAAGGAUUGACGGGGGGCCGCACCAGCGGUGGAGCUUGUGGUGUUAUUCGAAGCACACGAAAAACCUACCCGGUCGUUGACAUCUUCUGACAAUCUAAAGAUAAGACGUCCCCUUCCGGGGCAGAGGGACAAGUGGAGGAUGGUGUCGUCACCUCAUGUCGCUGAGAUGUGGAGAUAGUCCCCCACACCGCAACCUGAUCUUAGUGGUC